UACGAAGGGUGCUAGCGUUGCUCGGAAUUACUGGGCGUAAAGGGCGCGUAGGCGGCCAGUUUAGUCAGAGGUGAAAGCCCAGGGCUCAACCUUGGAACUGCCUUUGAUACUGACUGUCUUGAGUUCGGGAGAGGUGAGUGGAAUGCCGAGUGUAGAGGUGAAAUUCGUAGAUAUUCGGCGGAACACCAGUGGCGAAGGCGACUCACUGGCCCGAUACUGACGCUGAGGCGCGAAAGCGUGGGGAGCGAACAGG
RNAcentral lists this ribosomal RNA (253 nucleotides) under uncultured bacterium. RNAcentral's name for it is "partial 16S ribosomal RNA". It matches the Rfam family "Bacterial small subunit ribosomal RNA", at positions 524 to 776 of the family's 1533-position model. The record is from RNAcentral.